This 252-nucleotide ribosomal RNA is filed under the name uncultured bacterium. RNAcentral's name for it is "partial 16S ribosomal RNA". It matches the Rfam family "Bacterial small subunit ribosomal RNA", at positions 524 to 776 of the family's 1533-position model. The record is from RNAcentral.
UACGUAGGUCCCGAGCGUCGUCCGGAUUUAUUGGGCGUAAAGCGAGCGCAGGUGGUUUAUUAAGUCUGGUGUAAAAGGCAGUGGCUCAACCAUUGUAUGCAUUGGAAACUGGUAGACUUGAGUGCAGGAGAGGAGAGUGGAAUUCCAUGUGUAGCGGUGAAAUGCGUAGAUAUAUGGAGGAACACCGGUGGCGAAGGCGGCUCUCUGGCCUGUAACUGACACUGAGGCUCGAAAGCGUGGGGAGCAAACAGG